AACGCACCUUGCGCUCGCUGGUAUUCCGGCGAGCAUGCCUGUUUGAGUGUCAUGAACUCUUCAACCCUCCAAUUCCUUGUUGAAUUGUAAGGUGUUUGGAUUCUGAGCGCUGCUGGCCUAACUUGAGAUUUUCGAAUCUCUAAUCUGGCGAAGCUCGUUCGUAAUACAUUAGCAUCUCAAUUUCGAAAUUCGGAUUGACUCGGCGUAAUAGACUUAUUCGCUGAGGACACUAUUUAGAUUUACUUCUAUUCUAGUGGCCGAAAUUUGAGGUAGAAGCUUCUAACUCUCUAUUUGAAGUCAAAUUCUAAGAUUAGACCUCAGAUCAGGCAGGAUUACCCGCUGAACUUAA
RNAcentral lists this unclassified non-coding RNA (349 nucleotides) under uncultured fungus. RNAcentral's name for it is "partial contains 5.8S ribosomal RNA, internal transcribed spacer 2, and large subunit ribosomal RNA". The stretch from base 1 to 52 matches the Rfam family "5.8S ribosomal RNA", at positions 103 to 154 of the family's 154-position model. The record is from RNAcentral. Lineage: Eukaryota; Fungi.